Canis lupus familiaris (dog) is the source of this 2055-nucleotide long non-coding RNA. RefSeq lists it as uncharacterized. The transcript is spliced from 3 exons. The record is from RefSeq and is a predicted model, not a curated record. Lineage: Eukaryota; Metazoa; Chordata; Mammalia; Carnivora; Canidae.
UCCCAUAAAUAAAUAAAUAAAUAAAUAAAUAAAUAAAUAAAUAAAUAAAUAAAUAAAUAAAUAAAUAAAUAAAUAAAAUCUUAAAAAAACUUAAGGUUUGUCUUAUGGGAUUGCAUGUUAUCUAGGUUUUGGCUGCCUUUCAGAGCUCUUCUCCCUCUUCCUCUUCCCUCCCACGCUCAGUCUCUGGUGCCUUAUUGUAGCUCAGAACCUUUGCAUUUUGUAUUCCACCUGCCUGGACCCUCUUUCUCUUGAGAUGGUGCAUGUGGAUUCCUCCCUCUACUCAGUUGUCUGCUCAGUUGUUGCCUUCUCAGUUCCCCACUGCUCUGUCCAAAUGGCCAUGCCAUCCUGCUCUAGUUUUGUUUUUCCUUUGACCUUGCUGCAUUUUUCUUCAUUGCACUCACCACUACCUGGCAUUCUGUGAUAUGCGUAUUUGUUGUCUUGAUCACUUGGUAUAUCUGCAGCUACGUGACUCUGCUCGCCUGUAAUAGGUGCUUAGAUUUGCUAAAUGGGAGUGUGAGGUACAGCCAAGUGGAUUUCAGCCCAGGAAGUGCUGGUAGGUUAAUUGCACGAAACUUCAAUGUUAGUAGUGCCAAGUCUUUGUCACAAAUAAAAACAUCUUUUUAAAAAUUUACUGAAAAUAGUUUUAAGAGUUUGUGUCUUGGAGUUGACAAAUUGGCAGUGAAUGUGAGCUCAGAUGAAAUCUUGACCAGUUUAUGUCCAGAUUAGAGGGGCCCACAAACCUAUUGGAAGGGGUGUUGUGUAGGCAGUAGAGAUAUAGGAGCCUAACAGAACUUAGAUACUCUGGUGGCUGUGAUUUGUGGUAAAUCGGAAAAGGGAACUAGCUAUAAUUUGAGAAGUAGUUUUCUCUCUGUUGGUUUUCAAAAAUUGGCUGUUUGUAAAUGGUGGCUCUAAAGCUUUUUGGUGUCUGCAUCCCUGUAUACUCGUGAGUUAUUGAGGGACCCCAAAGAACUUUUGUUUAUGUGGGCCCUAGCUAUCGAUAUUUAUCAUCUUAUAUAAAUUAAGCUGACAAUUAAAAAAUAAUCCUUUAGAAAUGGUAAACAUGUUAACGUAUUACAGUUUUAGUGAAAAAAAAACUUUUUUGAAACACAGACAUGGUAAGUGAGAAGAAUGGCUUGUUUUACCUUUUUGCAGUGUUUCUAAUACCUGGCUAGAUUCUCUGCUGCUGCUGCAUUCAGUGUGCUGCCAUUCACCUGCCCUUUGCCUCCAGAAAACCUCCACUGCACAUUUGGGAGUAAAUGAGUGACAAAGGCAGCUAACACCUUGGCAUUACUACUGUUAUGACACUUUUGAGCUCAUAGACGUCCUGAAGGAUGAUUUAAUCCUCCCAAUUGCCCUGUGAGCACCCGGGCCAGAACUAGGACCAUGUAGAUGUGAUGCUGCCCUCUGCCUGGACCUAUUCAUCUGACUGGACCCUGAGCAGUCUGGCCAAGGGCUCAUUUCUUCAUGGUCCAAUUGUGGCAGCAUCUUAUCUAAGAAUGUUUUCAGAAGCAGGAUCCUAUGAAGAAGAGACAGGUCCCUCUGCCAUAGAAGCCAGCUCUCAGAUGGAGCAGUUGGUGUUGAGUGCAGUGGUUUAUCUCCUGCAGGAUCUAAGUGCAUGAAUUCCGAGAAAUGUCUGAAUGCAGGGAGCCUGAAGUAGAUGCUGCCCCUCCCUGGGUCAGCCUGUCUUGGUUGCCUAGCAGCCUGACUGUUUCCAUGGUGCUCCGUUACCAAGGCGGCAGAUCCAUUGCCCUGCGGAAUGUCUGCUCUGAUCAUUGGUACUGCAAAGCUGCUCGUAUUUUCUUUUAUUCUUUUUUUGGUAACUAGACUCUGAACGGUAUUUAGCAUAUGUUAUCUAAGAUAUUUCCUGGGAAAAACAAUGGAUAAAAGAGUAAGACUGUUCUAACAUAUGGAAUAUAAGGUGCACCUUCUAGGAAAGGUGGUCCCCUUCAUUCUGAGAGUGUUUUUGAAAACCUUUGGUGGCUACAUUGUGUAUGUAGGCUUUUAAAUAUCCUUAUAAAGACUUGUUAUUUUGGGACUCUUCUGGUAGAUGAUUAA